GGGGGAAUAUUGCACAAUGGGCGCAAGCCUGAUGCAGCCAUGCCGCGUGUAUGAAGAAGGCCUUCGGGUUGUAAAGUACUUUCAGCAGUGAGGGAAGGUGGAUAUGUUAAUAGCAUAUUCAUUUGACGUUAGCUGCAGAAGAAGCACCGGCUAACUCCGUGCCAGCAGCCGCGGUAAUACGGAGGGUGCGAGCGUUAAUCGGAAUUACUGGGCGUAAAGCGCAUGCAGGUGGUUUGUUAAGUCAGAUGUGAAAGCCCGGGGCUCAACCUCGGAAUUGCAUUUGAAACUGGCAAACUAGAGUACUGUAGAGGGGGUAGAAUUUCAGGUGUAGCGGUGAAAUGCGUAGAGAUCUGAAGGAAUACCGGUGGCGAAGGCGGCCCCCUGGACAGAUACUGACACUCAGAUGCGAAAGCGUGGGGAGCAAACAGGAUUAGAUACCCUGGUAG
Molecule: ribosomal RNA, 446 nt
Filed under: uncultured bacterium
Lineage: Bacteria
Description: bacterial SSU rRNA
Rfam family: Bacterial small subunit ribosomal RNA
Source: RNAcentral